This 365-nucleotide ribosomal RNA is filed under the name uncultured bacterium. RNAcentral describes it as "bacterial SSU rRNA". It matches the Rfam family "Bacterial small subunit ribosomal RNA", at positions 114 to 507 of the family's 1533-position model. The record is from RNAcentral.
CACGUUGGAACCUGCCCCGAAGUGGGGAAUAACUGCUCGAAAGAGUAGCUAAUACCCAUAGUAUCCGGUUUAUCCGGAUUAAAGAUUUAUCGGCUUCGGGAGGGGCCUGCGUCUGAUUAGCUUGUUGGUGGGGUAAAAGCUCACCAAGGCGACGAUCAGUAGCUGGUUCGAGAGGAUGACCAGCCACACUGGGACUGAGAUACGGCCCAGACUCCUACGGGAGGCAGCAGUGAGGAAUCUUCCACAAUGGACGAAAGUCUGAUGGAGCAAUACCGCGUGCAGGACGACGCUUUUCGGAGUGUAAACUGCUUUUGUCGUCGAAGAUUAUGACUGUAGACGAAGAAUAAGGACCGGCUAACUACGUG